This 497-nucleotide ribosomal RNA is filed under the name uncultured bacterium. RNAcentral's name for it is "partial 16S ribosomal RNA". It matches the Rfam family "Bacterial small subunit ribosomal RNA", at positions 28 to 507 of the family's 1533-position model. The record is from RNAcentral.
GAUGAACGCUGGCGGCGUGCCUAAUACAUGCAAGUCGAGCGAACAGACGAGGAGCUUGCUCCUCUGACGUUAGCGGCGGACGGGUGAGUAACACGUGGAUAACCUACCUAUAAGACUGGGAUAACUUCGGGAAACCGGAGCUAAUACCGGAUAAUAUAUUGAACCGCAUGGUUCAAUAGUGAAAGACGGUUUUGCUGUCACUUAUAGAUGGAUCCGCGCCGCAUUAGCUAGUUGGUAAGGUAACGGCUUACCAAGGCGACGAUGCGUAGCCGACCUGAGAGGGUGAUCGGCCACACUGGAACUGAGACACGGUCCAGACUCCUACGGGAGGCAGCAGUAGGGAGUCUUCCGCAAUGGGCGAAAGCUUGACGGAGCAACGCCGCGUAAGUGAUGAAGGUCUUCGGAUCGUAAAACUCUGUUAUUAGGGAAGAACAAAUGUGUAAGUAACUAUGCACGUCUUGACGGUACCUAAUCAGAAAGCCACGGCUAACUACGUG